Molecule: long non-coding RNA, 608 nt
Filed under: Mustela putorius furo (domestic ferret)
Lineage: Eukaryota; Metazoa; Chordata; Mammalia; Carnivora; Mustelidae
Description: lncRNA (ENSMPUG00000027512.1)
Source: RNAcentral
CACCUUUUGACAAAAUUAGUUUCCUUGUGAUGAGACAGAGGUUCUCUCUCUCUGUCUCUCUCUCAUUUUUUGCAGGGCAAGCAUAAGCGAAGAGAUGAUGGGACAGUUUAAAGCACAUUUGGCAACUGUUACCAGCAGAAGGCAAAUUAGGAAGAAAGAUCAACACACAAGGAGAACACCAUAUGUUGAUGAAGGCGGAGAUCAAGGUGAUGUUGCUACGAGCCCAGGAAGAGCAAAAAUUGCCAGCCAGCCACCAGAAGCUGGGCAAGAGACACGGAACAGAUUUUCUGUCCGAGCCCUCAGAGAACAAGAGCCCGGCUGACAUCGUCAUCUCAGAUUUGUAGCCUGCGGAAGUAUGAGACAAUAGAUUUCUGUUGUUUAAGUCACACGCUUGUCUAAGCCCUAGCAAACUAAUAUAAUAUCUUUCUGGUUAAGUCUUGAAUAUCCAAGUUAUAGUCGGUCUUGAUUUUAAUCUUCUACCCUGACUAUGUGAGCCCUUCAGUUGUGUUUCUGUCAGCAUUUGACCACCUAACUACUCUGUAAAAUAGUCAAUAAACCUACGAGCUUUGUAUUUCAUAUAUCAUAAAACUGCUCACAGUGCAAGUGCU